GCAGUAUUAGAGAUGUCUCAGAGACAAAAGGAACAGCAGGCAGCAGACGGGCAGCCUCCAGCAGGUCCUAAUGGAGAACUACAGUUCCAGCCAGAGACACAAAAAGAGGCAAAAGCUCCAGCUGAGCACGAAGCCGCAGCCCAGAAUAAUCUGCCUGCAGAGCCUCCACAGAAUCUGCCUAUACACACUUAACACAGUGCACUCUGACAGCCUUAACAUGCACACACACACACACACACACACACACACACACACACACACACACACACACACACACAGUCAUUGCACUGACACAGAUAUCCAGAUGGGUUCUACAAAAUGAAUUAUGUGAACUGUAUAUAUAAAUUCAGACAGACUUGGCUGGUGAAUCAUGGCGUAUUGUACUGUGUUCAUUUCUGUGGUCUACAUUAGAUUAAAGAUCUCAAAACAACAGACAACAUUGUGUAUUUUCAGAAAUCUUCAGUUUCAGUGAAGUUUUCAUUAAUGCUUCAGUGUAAAAUCUCAAACCUCUUCAAAUAAAGUCUUAAUUUUAAUCCCUCUGAA
Micropterus salmoides (largemouth bass) is the source of this 543-nucleotide long non-coding RNA. RefSeq lists it as uncharacterized. The record is from RefSeq and is a predicted model, not a curated record. The transcript has 2 exons. NCBI's taxonomy places the organism in Eukaryota, Metazoa, Chordata, Actinopteri, Centrarchiformes, Centrarchidae.